AACAUAGCCAUUUGAAGAUAUUUAUGGUUUAACCUGCCCAAUGUUAAAUUUAAUCAAUGGCCGCGGUACCCUGACCGUGCUAAGGUAGCGUAAUCAGUUGGCUUUUAAAUGGAGUCAGGUAUGAAUGGGAAAACCGGGUUUAGCUGUCUCCUACUUACUACCUUGAAUUUACUGUUCAAAUGAAAAAGUUUGAUUUUAAUAAAAAGACGAGAAGACCCUUAGAAUUUUUUUUAAAAAGGAUUUUGUUCUUAAUGAUUUUGUUGGGGUGACAGAGAAAUAUUUAGAACUUUCUUUAAUUUUACAAGCCGAAUUUUUUAAGUAAGAAUAAAUUACCUGAGGGAUAACAGCAUUAUUCUACAGAUGAGUUUGUGACCUCGAUGUUGGACUAGGAAACUAGCAGGCUAGCCGUUUGCUGUGUGGGUUCUGUUCGAACUUUAAUUCCU
This 443-nucleotide ribosomal RNA is filed under the name Flabellina gaditana. RNAcentral's name for it is "partial 16S ribosomal RNA". It matches the Rfam family "Archaeal large subunit ribosomal RNA", at positions 1904 to 2665 of the family's 2987-position model. The record is from RNAcentral. Lineage: Eukaryota; Metazoa; Mollusca; Gastropoda; Nudibranchia; Flabellinidae.